ACUCGUUACCACUUUUAUCAUCGUUUCGGAAGGCAAAUAUUUUUGUUUGGCGAUUCCACAAGGAUGCCUUCUGCAAGAUAAAAAAUUAAGGUGCCACAAGGAAGAAAAACGCACACAGGACCAGAUGCGUGCUACAGGCCACUGGGCACGUACAUUUUCAUCUCCGUUGACCUGCAGGGAGCCUGUGAGCCAUGUGCUGAAUAAUAACAAACGCAGAACAGUUCCAAGAGCCAGGCACUAUUUUAAGUGCCUUACGUAUACUCAUCCUUGACAACAAGCUCUUAAGGUCAGGAAAUGGAACCACCUGAGGCAAAAUAACUUGCCUGAGGUGAUGCAGCCAUGGUGACAGAGCUGGAUUUGAACACAGAAGUCUGAUAAACCUCCUACCAUGUAUCUCUCCCAGAGAAGGUAGCCAAAUCAUGAUGCGUCUCUGGACUUCCUCCACCACCUGCCGGGGUACAGUUCCCAGAGUGCUUCCUUAGAGUUGAACCAAGAGUGCUGACAGCAGCUUUAAUGGUUGUUAGUGGGACUGAAUGAAAGGAUGUCUAUUGGAUGUUUGCACAGAGUUGCUGCUCAGUGAAAAAGAAAAAGAGAAAAAAGUUCUUGAGCUACAGUGAGACCCCCAAAGAGAUGUUAAACAAAAUUCAUGAUUUGUUUGGAAGUUUCCAAAACUAGAAUUUCUUUGCCUCAUUAAACUAUGGCUUUCUUCUUUUUAUUCUCCUCAGUAUGAAUUACCUUAUGAGUUUUCUGAUCCCUAAAGUAAAAAAAAAAAAAAAAAGUUUGUUGUAAAAAAAAAAAAAAGAUAACAGAAAACCAAAGAAGAAAGUGAAAAUUCCCUGAAAUCCUACCAAUGAGAGGAAACAUCUAUGAAAACUUCACUCUCUAUCCUCUUGGAGUUUUCCCUGUGUCUUUAUAUACGUAUAUACAUAUCUAGAUGAAAGGUUGGGGGAAAAUAGAUCAGGCUAUACAAUCUUGUUUACCCGCAUUUUUCACUUCAUGUAAUGUGGACGUUUUGGCAUGUCAAUAGAUCUAGUUCCACAUCUUCAUUUUUAAUCAUUACAAACUGCUUCACUGUGUGUAUGUUUCAUAAUUAAACAUUCCUCUAUUGAAUGACACUGAUUAUUUGCUUUAUUGCUACAAUAAACAAGCCUGGAUGAUUAAAGGCACAUCAAUUUCUUCUUUUUGAUUACUUCCUGAGAAUAAAUUCCUAGAACUAAAAUUCUUUGAUCAAAGAGUGUGUCCAUUUUUAAGGAUUUUAAUGUAUUAUGUCUAUUUCCAUUUCCCUCCCUCCCCCAACCCCUCGAAAACUGUACUUCUUAAAAAAUUUUUUUUAAUUCUUGGCUU
Balaenoptera acutorostrata (minke whale) is the source of this 1344-nucleotide long non-coding RNA. RefSeq lists it as uncharacterized. The record is from RefSeq and is a predicted model, not a curated record. Lineage: Eukaryota; Metazoa; Chordata; Mammalia; Artiodactyla; Balaenopteridae. The transcript is spliced from 3 exons.